Molecule: ribosomal RNA, 465 nt
Filed under: Vreelandella stevensii
Lineage: Bacteria; Pseudomonadati; Pseudomonadota; Gammaproteobacteria; Oceanospirillales; Halomonadaceae
Description: partial 16S ribosomal RNA
Rfam family: Bacterial small subunit ribosomal RNA
Source: RNAcentral
CCUACGGGGGGCUGCAGUGGGGAAUAUUGGACAAUGGGGGGAACCCUGAUCCAGCCAUGCCGCGUGUGUGAAGAAGGCCCUCGGGUUGUAAAGCACUUUCAGUGAGGAAGAACGCCUGGUGGUUAAUACCCAUCAGGAAAGACAUCACUCACAGAAGAAGCACCGGCUAACUCCGUGCCAGCAGCCGCGGUAAUACGGAGGGUGCGAGCGUUAAUCGGAAUUACUGGGCGUAAAGCGCGCGUAGGUGGCUUGAUAAGCCGGUUGUGAAAGCCCCGGGCUCAACCUGGGAACGGCAUCCGGAACUGUCAAGCUAGAGUGCAGGAGAGGAAGGUAGAAUUCCCGGUGUAGCGGUGAAAUGCGUAGAGAUCGGGAGGAAUACCAGUGGCGAAGGCGGCCUUCUGGACUGACACUGACACUGAGGUGCGAAAGCGUGGGUAGCAAGCAGGAUUAGAUACCCUGGCAGUC